Molecule: long non-coding RNA, 1583 nt
Filed under: Medicago truncatula (barrel medic)
Lineage: Eukaryota; Viridiplantae; Streptophyta; Magnoliopsida; Fabales; Fabaceae
Description: long non-coding RNA (MTRU_LNC002404)
Source: RNAcentral
UCUAUUCAUUUCUGUUUUCUUUUUUGACAGGAUAUUCACCUUUCUGUUAGAAUUUAGUAGUACGAGUAUUUGUAACUCAUUCAAGGAAAACUUUGAGCUUGAAGACAAUUUCAACGGCUACAUUUAUGCAUGCAAGGCAAGUGUUUCAAUUUACACUAAUAAUUUACAAUAAUAUAUAUUUAAUGAUUCGACUAUAAAAUAAAUGUGGACCUCUAGCUUAAAACAGACCAAAUGCUUACAUGUUUAUGGUCUAUUUCUUCUCUCUUUACAUGUCAACUAAUGUAUCAAAAGUAAAUCUAAAAAGGAAACAAAAACCAAUAAGGCAUAUUAGGAGACUUUUGGCCAAAGGAAUGUCAUCGGAGACCUUAAACAUGAAAAGGCUACCAAACUUCAGAAAACGUAUUUGUCUUCACUCCUUUUCUUCAUCACUGACUGAGUAGAAUGUUGAGGAUUUUUCUGCAUUAAAACUAUAUAUAUAACAGAUAUUUAUAAACACCAUUUUCCUUACAACCUUGCAUAUCAUAUUAGCAAACAAAUUUCUUCAUCCAUCAUUAGUAAAUUUUAUUUCAAUAAAGCACAUUUCCUUGUUAUCCAUUCUGACAGAAGCAUUCCAAAGACAAUUACAUAUCAGCCACCAAAACAAAUCUGAAACUGAAAGUAAAAAUCAUCAACAUAAAAAGCAAGAGAUUGACCGCCAUUGAUACCUUUCUCGUUCUUGAAUAAUUGAGGAGAGGGCGAUCAAGAUGUGACCUAAAAAUUGGAAAAAGCGUCAUGCAGAAGCUCAUAAUUUUACAGGUAGAGUUCUGCAGCACUUGACAACCUCUUUAAGCCUUGUUUGCUCACCGGAGUUUCAAUCACAUCUGUAUUGCUUGAAAAAUCACCAUAUUACAAUGCUCCGAUAACCAAAUAUUAUCAGAAAAAUAUACAUAUAUACAUGCCUAAAUACAAACGAAAAUAAUGGGUUAUAGCACAGGUAUUACCACUAUCGGAUCCUUAGCAGACUCACUACAAAGUAGCAAACAUUUUCAAUUUGAUCUCCAAAAUUCUGAACCGAACAUUGUAGGUAGCAUAACAGCUAGCCCCCUCAACAAAAAAAAAAUGGUGUAUUAAAAUCAGAAAACGGUAGUAACAACGCAGGUGAUGAUAAAAAAAAAAAUUAUACUUGCAUGCUCAAUGGUAUAACACAUCAACAGGGUAAAUUAAGUUUUAGUAAGUAAGAUUAUAAAUUUACAAUAGUAAAUUAAUCAGCUGUCUCUUAGAAUGCUUGAAAGUAGUAUGGCUGCACGGAGAAACAAAGCGAUACAACGAUGAAACUAAUAACGGAGACUUUGCAAAUUUAUUUAAGUAUAUAGAUGCUUAUAGUAUGGUGUGUUUGUUUCAACGAAAUAAAUUACAUUCAUUGGAAUGACAUUUCUAGGAAUAAUAUUUCAAUGAAUAACAUUCUUACUCAUGUGUUUGAUAAAAAUUUAAAUUUUCUAAAAAUGUUUGAGAAAUUAUUUAAUUAAAAAAAUAAAUAUGAGUGGUGGUGAGAAUUUAUAGUAAGUUGAGUUUUUUUUUUUUUUUAUUCUCGUAGGAAUGUAAGA